Molecule: transfer RNA, 74 nt
Filed under: Burkholderiales bacterium
Lineage: Bacteria; Pseudomonadati; Pseudomonadota; Betaproteobacteria; Burkholderiales
Also listed under: 2 other names
Description: tRNA-Gly
Rfam family: tRNA
About the family: Transfer RNA (tRNA) molecules are approximately 80 nucleotides in length. Their secondary structure includes four short double-helical elements and three loops (D, anti-codon, and T loops). Further hydrogen bonds mediate the characteristic L-shaped molecular structure. tRNAs have two regions of fundamental functional importance: the anti-codon, which is responsible for specific mRNA codon recognition, and the 3' end, to which the tRNAs corresponding amino acid is attached (by aminoacyl-tRNA synthetases). tRNAs cope with the degeneracy of the genetic code in two manners: having more than one tRNA (with a specific anti-codon) for a particular amino acid; and 'wobble' base-pairing, i.e. permitting non-standard base-pairing at the 3rd anti-codon position.
Source: RNAcentral
GCGGCCUUCGUAUAGUGGCAAUACCUCAGCUUCCCAAGCUGAAGCGACCGGUUCGAUUCCGGUAGGCCGCUCCA